CCUACGGGUGGCUGCAGUGAGGAAUAUUGGUCAAUGGGCGCGAGCCUGAACCAGCCAAGUAGCGUGAAGGAUGACUGCCCCACGGGUUGUAAACUUCUUUUAUAAAGGAAUAAAGUGAGGCACGUGUGCCUUUUUGUAUGUACUUUAUGAAUAAGGUUCGGCUAACUCCGUGCCAGCAGCCGCGGUAAUACGGAGGAACCGAGCGUUAUCCGGAUUUCUUGGGAUUAAAGGGAGCGUAGAUGGGUUGUUAAGUCAGUUGUGAAAGUUUGCGGCUCAACCGUAAAAUUGCAAUUGAUACUGGCAGUCUUGAGUACAGUUGAGGUAGGUGGAAGUCGUGGUGUAGCGGUGAAAUGCUUAGAUAUCACGAAGAACUCCGAUUGCGAAGGCAGCUUACUAAACUGCCACUGACAUUGAUGCUCGAAAGUGUGGGUAUCAAACAGGAGUAGAUACCCCUGUAGUC
This 460-nucleotide ribosomal RNA is filed under the name uncultured bacterium. Its description in RNAcentral is "partial 16S ribosomal RNA". It matches the Rfam family "Bacterial small subunit ribosomal RNA", at positions 338 to 795 of the family's 1533-position model. The record is from RNAcentral.